UUAAAGGGGGAUAUGAAAAAUACGAAAAAUGGAAAAGAAGUAUUCAUUGCAAUGGACGCCGUCUUCAAGAUCGGAUAAAGGCAUGCUGGUGGUAGAUAGCUCCGUGUUUCCUGGGAAGGACAUCUACCAAGCAGACCCACCUAGGAUAAGGGGACAGAGGGAAAACCCAACAAGCCCAGAGUGAACAAAGAAAUACAUAACUGCCCUGUGACCUUCUGCCAUGAUGUCUGAGGCCCUCAUCUGA
Long non-coding RNA from Microtus oregoni (creeping vole), 244 nucleotides. RefSeq lists it as uncharacterized. Lineage: Eukaryota; Metazoa; Chordata; Mammalia; Rodentia; Cricetidae. The record is from RefSeq and is a predicted model, not a curated record. The transcript has 3 exons.